RNAcentral lists this long non-coding RNA (472 nucleotides) under Daucus carota (carrot). Its description in RNAcentral is "long non-coding RNA (DCAR_LNC007407)". Lineage: Eukaryota; Viridiplantae; Streptophyta; Magnoliopsida; Apiales; Apiaceae. The record is from RNAcentral.
GAUACGUGUCCCUCUGCUGGCUGGCCUGGUACCGAACCGAAUUUAACAAAUUAACGAACAACUCGCAAAUAAAAUAAUCCAGAUAAAUACCAAAAUAAUUUUUAAAAUCUUAAAAUAAUUAAAAACUAAUAAAAUAUGAUUUUCAUGAUUUUUGAAUCAUUUUUGAAAUAAAUAGAAAGACCCCACUUUAAUCUAUACGGAAAAUUAUUUAGAGCUGAAGAAUUAUCAAAAUAUCGUUUUAUGAAUUCUAUAAACCUCUAAAAAUAUUUAAUAGAAUUAUAAAGCGAUAAAAAUGAUUUUAUAUGCAAUACACUAUUUUAUAUAAUUAAAUCAGUAUAAAAUCCAUAACAAAUGCAAAUCGAUAACACAACUCAACAAUCCAAUAGAAAUAAAAUACACCGACUCUCGAGAAUAUAAUCACAUAAUAAUCAUUUAGAAUUUUUCAAAAUAAUAUAUGAAACUCAUUUUUUUU